CAGCCGCCGCGGUAAUACCGGCCCCGCGAGUGGUCGGGGUGAUUAUUGGGCCUAAAGCGUCCGUAGCCGGGCUGGUAAGUCCUCCGGGAAAUCUGGUCGCUUAACGAUCAGACUUCCGGAGGAUACUGCUGGCCUAGGGACCGGGAGAGGCCGAGGGUAUUCCCGGGGUAGGGGUGAAAUCCUGUAAUCCCGGGAGGACCACCUGUGGCGAAGGCGCUCGGCUGGAACGGGUCCGACGGUGAGGGACGAAGGCCAGGGGAGCGAACCGGAUUAGAUACCCGGGUAGUCCUGGCUGUAAACGAUGCGGACUAGGUGUCGGGCAAGCUAAGGGCUUGUCCGGUGCCGCAGGGAAGCCGUUAAGUCCGCCGCCUGGGGAGUACGGCCGCAAGGCUGAAACUUAAAGGAAUUGGCGGG
Molecule: ribosomal RNA, 414 nt
Filed under: uncultured microorganism
Description: bacterial SSU rRNA
Rfam family: Archaeal small subunit ribosomal RNA
Source: RNAcentral